RNAcentral lists this unclassified non-coding RNA (228 nucleotides) under uncultured fungus. RNAcentral's name for it is "partial contains 18S rRNA, ITS1, 5.8S rRNA, ITS2 and 28S rRNA". The record is from RNAcentral. Lineage: Eukaryota; Fungi.
AAGGAUCAUUACUAUAAUCAGAACGGGAAAGCGUGCGCACGGGGCUGUGCAGCCCCGUUCCGGCGCACGUUUCCCGGAUCUCAAACCCUGUGUGAGCGUAAAUCUGUUGCCUUGGCGGGUUGGUCUCGCGCCUCCUGCCAGAGGAACCGCAAACUCUAGUUUAAAUAUGUGCCGUCUGAGCUUACAAUAAUAUAUUUAAAACUUUCAACAACGGAUCUCUCGGUUCUC